AUCCACCCUCUAUGUAACCCUCCCAAAUAAUAAGCCCCUGCCAGAUUUUGAGCUAAGAGAUGAUCGGCAGUCCUCGCCAUCAAGUUUAAGUGCAGAAGAUGUGCAAACGGCAGACACUGUUCCACGGUCACCUUUCCAGGUGCCCACGUGGGCUCGUUUCCACUUUUGGCGUCUUGGCAUUUACACAGGCAGGCAUCGUUCAAAGCCCUGGGCUCCUGGACCGUAGGACACGAUGACAGUAGUCUUUGAGAGUGUCCUUGUUUUGUAGGAUGUCAUGAUAUACAUCCGCUGCCCCAGACCUGGAAUCAGCCAUUUCUCUGAGGAACCUCAGUUCCCUUUACUGAGAAAUAUAUUUAGAAACCAGAAUCUGGCCUCAAAGGAAACAGCUCACUUCUUCAGGGCUGGUUGCUAUUUCUAGUUCCCUUCCGUGGACAGAGAUGAGAGAAAGAACACCAGGAGAGGAGCAGAUCUUGGAAGGUUGAAUGGAGAAGAAAGAAUCCAGAUGUCUUUCAUGAAGCCAGUCAUUCAAGAGGUUUUUAAAAACGUAAAGCAAUACUACUCUUUUCACUAAUCUCUGCAGUGGAAAAAACAGUUAUUUUUUCAUAAAAAGUAUUUUGCUCUUA
This is a long non-coding RNA of Herpailurus yagouaroundi (jaguarundi), 623 nucleotides long. RefSeq lists it as uncharacterized. The transcript is spliced from 2 exons. Lineage: Eukaryota; Metazoa; Chordata; Mammalia; Carnivora; Felidae. The record is from RefSeq and is a predicted model, not a curated record.